Molecule: long non-coding RNA, 454 nt
Organism: Mauremys reevesii (Reeves's turtle)
Lineage: Eukaryota; Metazoa; Chordata; Testudines; Geoemydidae
Exons: 4
Source: RefSeq, a predicted model, not a curated record
GGGUGCCUGGCUAGCUAGGUGAGCAGCAUACUACAGACAGUUCACCGCAGAGAGCUCACUGGGUGGAGCUGAGCCCAGGGAAGGCUGCUGAAGACCAGGUGCCUGGCUGAUUGGAUAGAGUAGCAGCAGGCCCAUGAAAAGGUGACUGCACUUCAGUGCUGAGUGAAGGAAAUUCUGUACAGAGCUUGUCAAAUGCUUUGGGAUUCUGCUAGACUGAAGGUAUUAUAGAAGUAAAUACUCCCUAGUUAUUCUGCUAUCAACAAGACUGACCUCAUUCUGGAUGCAUGAUGAAGAUAUCAUUUGCAAUACUCAAGUUUACAUCAGGUUGCUAGGAGCUUCAGCCUCUGAAUUUGUUCUCCAGGAAAGGAUAAAAAAGAAAGGAGAAGCAGCACAAAAAAAGCAGGCAAGAUUAAAAAUGAUAGCAAAGGUUAUAAAAGGCACCAUAAUGAAACUC